AAAUAAAUUAUUUUUUAUUUGGAAUAUAAAUGCCUAUUACUUUGUUUUGAUAUUACAGGUUUUGUGCAAAUAUCUGCUGAGUGAACUACUUAUUUGAAAAGACAUCAUUGGUUAAUAUUCCCUUUUGCUCAUUGAAAUCUCAAAGACUACAGGUGUGGUGCAAUUCCAUUAGAUGAAAGAGAUCUACACAUUCAGAAGCACAUGAUUCUUCCCCCUUCCAUGAUUCCAGUGGCCAAUAGAGGUAUAAGGAAGAACCAAGAAACAGUAUUUACUGCAUCCUUUGGCAUUGAUGUUACAGUAUUUCACGAAAGGCCCGAGGAAUUCUAAUUGGAACAGACAAAAACCCAAUACAUGUUUAAGCAGUAAAGUAUUCAUCAGGUCACAAAAAGAGGAGCAAAAGGAGCUGACUCUUUAUGUCAUACCUUGGCCUUAUAAUUUGAUUCUUUGCCAACAUGCACAGUUUUUCUCCAUAGGCUGUGCAUUGGGACAAACUACAAUAAAGCCAUGCCCCGACUGGAUGUGCCUAACAUUUGUCUGGUGCUUAAAGGAGUUGGCUGCAUGCAUGGAAAUGUUGGAAAGUCACCAAAAAUACUUCUCCAAGUCAGAAGCGGUGCAAAAGCUGCCUCAGCUCUUGGUGGAUUUUCAAUUUCUCCCAGCCAUCUCUGUUUCUCUCAGGGUUUCUGAAGACAGUGGGGGAAGCUUUUUUCUCCUCCCCAUCCUAAUCACUAGUAUGAGAAGGGGUGCUAAUGGACCAGCCUUGGCCUUGCAGAUGAAGAUGAUGAAGGAAGAAGACAGGAAGAAAAAAAAACACUGA
RNAcentral lists this long non-coding RNA (814 nucleotides) under Pan paniscus (pygmy chimpanzee). RNAcentral describes it as "lncRNA (ENSPPAG00000045124.1)". Lineage: Eukaryota; Metazoa; Chordata; Mammalia; Primates; Hominidae. The record is from RNAcentral.